ACCCUACUAGGUACUAAGACUCCACUGUCAAUCCGUCUGUCCGUCUGUCUAUCAGUAGGCUGUAUCUCGUGAAGUGACGUAGAAGUAAG
This is a long non-coding RNA of Maniola jurtina (meadow brown), 89 nucleotides long. RefSeq lists it as uncharacterized. The transcript is spliced from 3 exons. The record is from RefSeq and is a predicted model, not a curated record. Lineage: Eukaryota; Metazoa; Arthropoda; Insecta; Lepidoptera; Nymphalidae.